ACUUAGCUGAGAGGUGGUGCAUGGCCGUCGUCAGUUCGUACUGUGAAGCAUCCUGUUAAGUCAGGCAACGAGCGAGACCCACGUCCACAGUUGCCAGCAUACCCUCCGGGGUGAUGGGUACACUGUGGAGACCGCCGCUGCUAAAGCGGAGGAAGGAGUGGGCAACGGUAGGUCAGUAUGCCCCGAAUCUCCCGGGCUACACGCGGGCUACAAUGGUUGGUACAAUGGGCAUCUACCCCGAAAGGGGAAGGAAAUCUCUUAAAGCCAAUCGUAGUUCGGAUUGAGGGCUGCAACUCGCCCUCAUGAAGCUGGAAUCCGUAGUAAUCGCGUUUCAACAGAACGCGGUGAAUACGUCCCUGCUCCUU
RNAcentral lists this ribosomal RNA (365 nucleotides) under uncultured Methanosaeta sp. Its description in RNAcentral is "bacterial SSU rRNA". It matches the Rfam family "Archaeal small subunit ribosomal RNA", at positions 974 to 1338 of the family's 1478-position model. Lineage: Archaea; Methanobacteriati; Methanobacteriota; Methanomicrobia; Methanotrichales; Methanotrichaceae. The record is from RNAcentral.